AGUGAACGCUGGCGGCAGGCCUAACACAUGCAAGUCGAGCGGCAGCGCGUCCGACCACCCUCGGGUGGUCGGAUGGCGGCGAGCGGCGGACGGGUGAGGAAUGCAUCGGAAUCUGCCUCGUUGUGGGGGAUAACGUAGGGAAACUUACGCUAAUACCGCAUACGACUUACGGGUGAAAGUGGGGGACCUUCGGGCCUCACGCGAUGAGAUGAGCCGAUGCCGGAUUAGCUAGUUGGCGGGGUAAAGGCCCACCAAGGCGACGAUCCGUAGCUGGUCUGAGAGGAUGAUCAGCCACACUGGAACUGAGACACGGUCCAGACUCCUACGGGAGGCAGCAGUGGGGAAUAUUGGACAAUGGGGGCAACCCUGAUCCAGCCAUGCCGCGUGCGGGAAGAAGGCCUUUGGGUUGUAAACCGCUUUCGGACGGAAAGAAAUCGCAUGGGUUAAUACCCUGUGUGGAUGACGGUACCGUAAGAAGAAGCACCGGCUAACUACGUGCCAGCAG
This 505-nucleotide ribosomal RNA is filed under the name uncultured bacterium. Its description in RNAcentral is "bacterial SSU rRNA". It matches the Rfam family "Bacterial small subunit ribosomal RNA", at positions 30 to 514 of the family's 1533-position model. The record is from RNAcentral.